GCGGUUGUGAUGGAAUGGCAGACAUGCGGGAUUCAAACCCCCGUGAGCGAAAGCUCGACUGUGAGUUCGAGUCUCACCAACCACACCA
This 88-nucleotide transfer RNA is filed under the name compost metagenome. Its description in RNAcentral is "tRNA-Leu". It matches the Rfam family "tRNA". From Rfam's summary of the family: Transfer RNA (tRNA) molecules are approximately 80 nucleotides in length. Their secondary structure includes four short double-helical elements and three loops (D, anti-codon, and T loops). Further hydrogen bonds mediate the characteristic L-shaped molecular structure. tRNAs have two regions of fundamental functional importance: the anti-codon, which is responsible for specific mRNA codon recognition, and the 3' end, to which the tRNAs corresponding amino acid is attached (by aminoacyl-tRNA synthetases). tRNAs cope with the degeneracy of the genetic code in two manners: having more than one tRNA (with a specific anti-codon) for a particular amino acid; and 'wobble' base-pairing, i.e. permitting non-standard base-pairing at the 3rd anti-codon position. The record is from RNAcentral.